This 584-nucleotide ribosomal RNA is filed under the name uncultured Cytophaga sp. Its description in RNAcentral is "bacterial SSU rRNA". It matches the Rfam family "Bacterial small subunit ribosomal RNA", at positions 8 to 596 of the family's 1533-position model. The record is from RNAcentral. Lineage: Bacteria; Pseudomonadati; Bacteroidota; Cytophagia; Cytophagales; Cytophagaceae.
AGAGUUUGAUCCUGGCUCAGGAUGAACGCUAGCGGCAGGCCUAACACAUGCAAGUCGAGGGGUAGAGUAGCAAUACUUGAGACCGGCGCACGGGUGCGUAACGCGUAUGCAAUCUACCUUUUACAGGGGAAUAGCCCAGAGAAGUUUGGAUUAAUGCCCCAUGGUAUAAUCGAAUGGCAUCAUUUGAUUAUUAAAGUUCCAACGGUAAAAGAUGAGCAUGCGUCCUAUUAGCUAGAUGGUAAGGUAACGGCUUACCAUGGCAACGAUAGGUAGGGGUCCUGAGAGGGAGAUCCCCCACACUGGUACUGAGACACGGACCAGACUCCUACGGGAGGCAGCAGUGAGGAAUAUUGGACAAUGGGCGCAAGCCUGAUCCAGCCAUGCCGCGUGCAGGAAGAAGCAUCUAUGGUGUGUAAACUGCUUUUGUACGGGAAGAAACACCUCUACGUGUAGAGGCUUGACGGUCCGUAAGAAUAAAGAUCGGCUAACUCCGUGCCAGCAGCCGCGGUAAUACCGAGGAUCCAAGCGUUAUCCNGAAUCAUUGGGUUUAAAAGGUCCCUANGCNGGUUUGAUAAGUAAUGGUG